GACAGAGGGUGCAAACGUUGUUCGGAAUUACUGGGCGUAAAGCGCGUGUAGGCGGCAAGGCAAGUCGGAUGUGAAAGCCCACGGCUCAACCGUGGAAGUGCACCCGAAACUGCCUAGCUAGAGUCUCGGAGAGGAAGGUGGAAUGCUUGGUGUAGAGGUGAAAUUCGUAGAUAUCAAGCGGAACACCGGUGGCGAAGGCGGCCUUCUGGACGAUGACUGACGCUGAGACGCGAAAGCGUGGGUAGCAAACAGG
This 253-nucleotide ribosomal RNA is filed under the name uncultured bacterium. Its description in RNAcentral is "partial 16S ribosomal RNA". It matches the Rfam family "Bacterial small subunit ribosomal RNA", at positions 524 to 776 of the family's 1533-position model. The record is from RNAcentral.